UGCCAGACCACUUGCGGGUGAAACUAACAAUUUCAUCUCAUGGGUAUGUUGUAUCGAUGUUUUGGAGCCUGAUGUUUUACCGUCUUUUUCUUAACUAUAAUUUUUACAAUAGUAGCUGUCCACAACGCGUAAAUUGAAACUUCAGCCAACGGAGUAAAAGUCUGCUUUGUUUUCGAGUACAAUGCUCUCUGAUCUUUUUUUAACAUGUAUAAAUUUAACAAUGUAAAAGGUCGACACCGCUUGAUAAACACAACAUUAAUGUCGACACAAAAGAUAUAUACGUCGGUGGAUUUCAUUUUUAAUUCCUUUGGUGCACAGUAGGGUCUGAUUCUCAUAAAAUAGAUUGGGUACAUGUACUUUCAGGUUAACCUUAUAGUGAUAGUGUUUGGCUAUAUGUUAAUAACACUGAAAAUUUCUGUCCCCAUAGAAAGGACAUUUAAAGUUUUCGAGCCAGAUGUUUAUAAUUCAAUAUAGGUUAAAUAGAUGUAUUACAGGAGGGCCUAUAUCUUUUAAAAAAGAAGUUGUAUCAACACAAUAUGUUGACAGUAUCAGACCACUUGCGGGUGAAACAAACAAUAUGUCUCUUGGGUAGGGUGUUUCGAUGAUUUGAAGCCCGAAGUUUUAAUUGGUUUUUUCCCUAACUAUAAUUUUUACAAUGGUAGCUGUCCACCACUAGUACGUGUAAUGGAAAUAUCUCCCCACGAGAGAUUCAAAACUGUUACAAAUGAGGAAAUAGAGAAAUUUUUCGACUCCAGGCAAGCAAAAUCAACAAAAAGAAAUACAGCAUGGGGAUUUUUCAAGAUUGGAACAUGGAGAUCUAUGGUUCUGUACUAAUGGUGCAACAUUAGACCUGCAAACAGCAAAUGUGUCAACUCUUGCCAGUCAUCUCUCGUGAUUUUAUUGUGAAGCCAGCCCCAAAGAAAAAGUUGAUGAUGAUGUUUAGCCUUUGUACCACAAAAAUACUUUGAUCAAUAUCAAAGGAGCAAUAAAUCGCCAUCUUGCUGACAUUCAGAGAGAUGUAAAUAUAGUCCAUGACAAGGAGUUCAGAACAGCCAAUGGAAUCUUGGAUGGUUUCUUUAAAGAGCGAACCUGACUUGAUCUGUCAAAACCAACAUCACACAAAGAUAUUAUCGAGAUACAUGAUCUGCAGAAGAUUUAUAAAUACCUCCAAGGUGCCACAUCAUCACCAGUGGUUUUGCGCCAUGCUGUAUGGUACUUUCUGUCCAUCAAUUUUAUUACCAUAGGUUUAGAGUUCCACCAUAAGUUUAAUCAUAACAGCUUUGUCUUCUGCACAGAUGAAACUUGCCAAUAUGCUGCAUUACAACACAAAACAUUACAAAAUAAUCAUCAAGGUGGUGUAGAUGCCGAUGACAGCCAUACAGACAAGAUGAUGUACGCAACUGAUAAUGAAAACUGCUGUCAUGUUUAUCUCUUAAAGUUACUGAUGUCAAAAACAGAUUCAAAUGCUACAAAUCUUUUCAACCAAUACAUAUAAGAGAGAGUUCAUUCUGAUAUUUGGUAUUCAGCAAAACCCCUGCCAAAGCGCACUUUCAACAAGUCUCUCGGGGAGAUUUGCUUUGCUGCUGGUGUGGAGCAUAAAUACACAUCCCACUGUUUACGGGCCACUGCAAACACUUACCUUAAUGAUCAGGGAUUUGAAGCACGACACAUCAUGUUCAUGUCGAACCAAAGGAAUGAGAGUUCAAUGAGGUCAUAUAACAGAUCGCUCUCCUCUAAGCAAAAAAAAAAAGCAUUCUGCGAUGGCGUCUGCAUCUUCAUCCCCUUUUACGAUCGUAGCUCUUCCACUGCUGUCGACCAGGUUCUCGAACUUGCCACCACGAACCCAUGAAAAUCAGGCUCAACUUGAAAACUUACCGUCACCAUCUGCACAUGAGACCACAACUCUCAUAUCGUCAAAUUCCACAGCCACAACAUCGUCCUCCAUGCCAGCAACAUUGAAAACAGUUAACAUGAACAUGCAAAACAUUAAUCCAACAGCUGGGUUUUUCAAUAAUGCAAA
Long non-coding RNA from Magallana angulata, 2020 nucleotides. RefSeq lists it as uncharacterized. The record is from RefSeq and is a predicted model, not a curated record. NCBI's taxonomy places the organism in Eukaryota, Metazoa, Mollusca, Bivalvia, Ostreida, Ostreidae. The transcript is spliced from 3 exons.